Malania oleifera is the source of this 6244-nucleotide RNA transcript. It is a transcript of the gene named cycloartenol-C-24-methyltransferase, with no coding region annotated. The transcript has 14 exons. The record is from RefSeq and is a predicted model, not a curated record. Lineage: Eukaryota; Viridiplantae; Streptophyta; Magnoliopsida; Santalales; Ximeniaceae.
GCCGGCUCUCUCUCUCGCUCGUCGUCUUUUCUUAUCUCUCCAUUUUUCUAUUUAUAUCCGUUUUUCACUCUCAGUCAACAAUCACAGCUCACACCACGCAAAUCUCUCUCGCUUUGAGCUCUAGGGUUUCUUCACAUUCUUCCUUUGAUACCGCGAGAUGUCGAAGCCUGGAGCAUUGGAUCUUGCUUCUGGUCUCGGUGGAAAGCUAGAGAAACACGAAGUUCUUUCCGCUGUCGAGAAGUAUGAGAAGUAUCAUGUCUGUUAUGGAGGUGAAGAGGGAGAGAGGAAAGCUAACUACAGUGACAUGGUUAACAAAUAUUAUGACCUUGUCACCAGUUUCUAUGAGUUUGGCUGGGGAGAGUCCUUCCAUUUUGCACCCAGAUGGAAAGGCGAGUCUCUUCGCGAGAGCAUUAAGAGGCAUGAGCACUUCCUUGCUUUACAACUAGGCCUGAAACCUGGAUUAAAGGUGCUGGAUGUAGGAUGUGGAAUAGGUGGGCCACUUAGAGAAAUUGCUCGAUUUAGCUCCACUUCAAUUACGGGCCUGAACAACAAUGAGUACCAGAUAACAAGAGGAAAGGAACUGAACCGCAUUGCAGGAUUGGACAGGACCUGCGACUUUGUGAAGGCUGACUUCAUGAAAAUGCCAUUUUCUGACAACACAUUUGAUGCAGUAUAUGCAAUUGAAGCUACUUGCCAUGCACCCGAUGCACUCGGAUGCUAUAAAGAAAUCUACAGAGUAUUGAAGCCUGGCCAAUGUUUUGCUGCAUAUGAGUGGUGCAUGACCGACUCCUUUGAUCCUGACAACCAAGAACAUCAAAAAAUUAAGGCAGAAAUUGAGAUUGGUGAUGGCCUCCCAGACAUAAGGUUAACGGGAAAAUGCCUUGAAGCUUUGAAACAAGCAGGUUUUGAGGUUAUAUGGGCCAAAGAUCUUGCUGUGGGCUCGCCUCUCCCUUGGUACUUGCCCUUGGAUAAAACUCAUUUUUCACUUAGUAGCUUCCGCCUAACAGCCAUUGGACGCUACAUUACUAAAAACAUGGUCAUGGCCCUAGAAGCUGUAGGACUUGCGCCAAAGGGAAGUCAAAGAGUCCAAGCUUUUCUAGAGAAAGCUGCAGAAGGUUUAGUUGCAGGUGGAAGGUGAGAGUUUUCUUUUCUUGUGUAUGUUCCUAGAUUGUCUUGUUUCUAAGCCUUGGAAAUGAAACCGGGUUCCUUGGAGUAUUAGAAGUAGGCAAGUGGCAAAGUGCAUUAACACGAAUUCUACCAUUUAGCCUUAAUGCCUCCCUGUGGCUAAUGAAAAUAAGCUUUUGAAAAGGAUUUGAUGGAAAGUAGCCGACUUAGGUGGUUAUAAAAUUUGUUCUCUUCCUUACCCCUGGUUGGGAAAAAAAGUUUUUGAAAUGAAAAAAUUAAUCCAGUGUCAAAAAAAAAAAAAAAAAAACUUUUAAUUGAACAGCCUCCUAGGACUUUUCUAGCCAAGAUUUGCAGCGACUUAUUUACUUGAACUCAUUUGUUAUUAAGGAAUUUAUAUCCUUCCUAAGUGGACUAUCCAAUGAUUUGAUUUUUAGGUGUUGAGAAUUCCACUUGUGAGCUUGUCCCACAUUGAAAAAUUUGAGUGGAUGAUGGAUGCUUAUAGACAUGGUUGGACUCAAGACACAAUAGGCUUAGGCUUUUGGGUCAAGUUAGUGUUCACCCAUGUGUAUCAAGUCCAUCUAUAGGCUCCUUUGGUCCUAACAAGUCGUAUUAGAGUCUGAUUUGAAGCAGAAACGCCAGAUUGGAGAAAUUCACCGAAAACAGAUUCCUGUCCAGUGUCUCGAAAUUGAGUUUUAAGGCCACUAGCACAUUCAUCUCAUCGAAACGAAGCCAACAAUGCAAAUUGGAGCUUGAAAGGAGCCCAGACGGCACCACACGUGCCAUGCCGAAAUCGUCCAUGUCUUCACGUGCCUUCACGCGCUGGCGACUUGUCGGCCACGCACCCACACGCGCUCCAUGCGUCUUCCUCACUCGGCCGCUUCGAUCUGGCCCUGUAACCCGCUCCAGACUUGGACCGUACCUGACCUAGAUCCAUAUCGGUUCAUCCAGACCCGACCAACCAACACGUGACAUCCCCGUCAGUUACCACGUGGCAGCCGCAGCAACUGACACGUCAGUGCUGCCAUGUCAUCCAGUGGGACCCACAAAAUAUGUAGUAGUGGGCUCCACAGUACCACGUCAGCAGUGGAAACCGUGUCACCUCAACGUCACGUCAGUAGUGGACCCCACACCCUGGCACGUCAGCAAACGGCGUCUAUUAAUGAUGUCAGUGACGCCAUUAAGGAUACUCCAUUAGUCAGAGGAAUAUUCCGUUAUAGUUCACAUGAUUUGACCAGGUUUGACCAGAUCUUUGACUGGAUUUUUUGGAGCCAUUUUGGGUCCGUUUUUCGAAUGACUUGAACCAUUUCUAAGGUUUUCGGCCGUUUUGGAUCCAACUGUGCUGUCCAUUUGAGUUGAUUCUGUGUCUUGAUUAGCAAAUCGAGAUGUCGAAUGAAAAGAGCUUAAAGAUCGAGAUGUUUAACCGCAAUAAUUUUGAUUUUUGGAAGAUGCAGAUUUAAGAUUACUUGUUUGGUAAGGAGUUGCACUUACCAUUGAAGGAAAAGUCAGGAUUUAUAAAUGAGGACGAGUGAGAGUUGCUUGACCGGAAAGUUCUCGGAGCUAUCAGAAUGACGUUGUCAAAGUCUAUGACAUUUAAUAUCAAGCACAUAUCAUCUACCAAGUUUCUAAUGGGUGCACUUUUUAACAUGUAUGAGUAGCCGUCAGCCGCUAAUAAGGUAUAUCUUAUGAAAAAAAGAUUAUUUACUAUGACCAUGUUUGUAGGUGAAAGUUUUAGCAAACAUUUGAAUAGUUUCAAUGAGUUGUCGGAUUAACUUGCUUCAGUUGGGAUUACAUUUGAUAGUGAGAUUUAUGCCCUAUUGAUUCUCAGUUAGUUGCUCGAAAGUUGGAAUGGUAUUGUUACUGCAAUCAGUAGUUCUGCAAGGAAAUCAAAGGUAGUGUUUGAUGAGGUUGUCAGCAUGAUUUUGACGGAAGAAAUUAGAAUGCAGUCAAACCAUGGUUACACUUCGAGUUCAGCCUUGAACAUGGAAAGUCGAGAUAGAGGAAGCAGGCAUGGACGAUCAAACAAUCACAGUAGAUCUGGUCCAGGCGGUCCAGAUCCAGAAAACCCAGAGGUUCUCGGGACACAAGUUCCCAGGGCAUAAAGAAUAUUGAGUGCUGGAACUGUGAAAAAACUGGUCAUUACAGAAACCAGUGGAAAGGUUCAAAGAAAGAAUAUGAGAUGAAGGUGAAAACAGAAGCAAAUGUUGUUUCAGAAAAUGAUGAUAUGUUGAUCUACUCUUUGGAGAGCAAAAAAGAGUCUUGUGUGUUAGACUCUGGAGCUUCAUUUCAUGCUACUUGCAGUAGAGAUUGCCUAGAGGAGUAUAUACCAGGUGACUUCGAUAAAGUAUACCUUGGCAAUGAUCAACCUUGCGACAUUGCCGGUAAGAGGACAAUGAAUAUCAAGAUGAACGGGUCAGUAUGGAAGUUAAGAGAUGUCAGAUAUAUUCCAUACCUAGGGAAGAACUUGAUCUCAGUUGGUCAACUGGCAGAUGAAGGAUAUAACACAACUUUCAUUGUUGAUGAAUGGAAGAUUUUGAAGGGUGCACUGACGAUUGCACGAGGUAAAAAAAGUGAAACUCUUUAUGUAACCCCUAAUGUAUGCAUGUCUAUUACAGUUGCUACAGGAAAUGAUGAUAGCAACAUUUGACGUCAACGACUCAGACACCUGAGUGAGAAAGGACUCAGGGUGAUGCACUCAAAAGGAAAGUUGAGUGAUUUACAGUCAGUGAAGAUUGACAAAUGUGAGGAUUGCAUACGUGGGAAACAGAAGAGGGUCAGUUUCCAAAUGAACACCAGUACCCCAAAGAAGGAGAGACUUGAGCUAGUCCAUUCAGAUGUAUGAGGACCAACGACCAUUUCAUCCACAACUGGGAAGCAUUAUUUUGUAACAUUUAUUGACUAUCAUUCUCAGAAGGUAUGAGUUUACUUCCUGAAAAACAAAUAUGAUGUCUUUGAUGCUUUUAAAAUUUGGAAAACAAUGGUUGAAAAUGAAACUGGUUUGAAAAUUAAGAAGCUGAGAACUGGUAACGGUGAUGAGUAUGAUGACACCGGGUUCAAGAAAUUCUGCUAUGAGCAUGGUAUCAGAAUGGAAAGAACUGUGCCAGGUAUGCCUUAGCACAACGGUGUAGCCGAACGGAUGAACAGAGUGUUGACAGAAAAAGCCAGAAUCAUGCGUAUGCAGUCAGCUUACCAAAGAUGUUUUGGGCAGAAACAAUCAACACUGCAGUUUACUUGAUUAACAGGAUUAGUACCAUUGGACUAUAGACUACCAAAAGAAGUAUGGAGCGGUAAAGAGGUAAGACUUUCACAUUUGAGAGUUUUUGGUUGUGUUGUAUAUGUACAUAUCAAUGAUUAUGUCAGGAAUAAGCUUGAUCCAAAAUCUCGGAAAAUGCACCUUUAUCGGUUAUGGUGGAGAUGAAUAUGAGUAUCGCAUUUGGGAUGAUGAAAAUAAAAAUGUGAUUAGAAGCAGAAAUGUGAUUUUUGAUGAAAAAGUAAUGUACAAAGAUAGACACAUAACAGAACCUACAGAGUUUGAAACAACUUAUGUAGAUGUGGAUGAUGUCCUAGAAGGUGUAAGGACGCGUUAACGGAAUACCGAGAAUCCUCAGCAGAAUACCGAGAAUGCUUAGGCAGAGGAACCUAUGGAGCAGAUUAUUGCACCACUGCCUCAUACUCCAGUUCCAGAGCUUAGGAGAUCUUCUUGAUAGCAUGUACCAAAUAGGAGGUAUGUGAAUCAUUUAUUUCUUAUAGAUGAAGGAGAACCUGAAUGUUAUGUUGAAGCAUGUCAGACAGGAGAUUCAAGCAAGUGAGAGCAUGCAAUGAAAACGAGAUGAAGUCUCUUACCUUCAACAAAACAUGGGAACUAGUUAAGUUGCCCAAAGGUAAGAAGGCUCUUCACCUUCACAACAAAUGGGUGUACAAGAUCAAAGAAGAGCAUGAUGGAUCCAAGAGGUAUAAAGUCCGAUUAAUAGUCAAAUGUUUCGAGCAGAAGGAAGGAAUUGACUACACUGAUAUUUUUGCACCAGUUGUGAAGCUGACAACCAUCAGAUCUGUCUUGAGUAUUGUUGCCUCAUAGAGCUUACAUCUUGAGCAGUUGGACGUGAAGACGACAUUUCUUCACGGUGACCUUGAUGAGGAAAUUUAUAUGCAACAGCCAAAAGGUUACUCAGUUAAAGGUAAAGAGAAUUUUGUGUGCAGAUUGAAGAAGAGCUUGUAUAGUCUCAAACAAACUCUUAAGCAAUGGUACAAGAAAUUUGACAGCUGUAUGCAGAGGAAAAAUUUUCAGAAGUGUAAUGCCGACCAUUGUUGCUACUUUAAGAGGUAUUGUACUAGCUAUAUUAUUCUAUUGUUAUAUGUUGAUGAUAUGCUAGUCGCAGGAUCAGAUAUAGAAGAGAUCAGAAAAUUGAAAUAAGUUUGACAUGAAAGACUUGGGUCCUGCAAAGCAGAUUUUUGGGAUACGGAUCUCUAGAGAUAAGCAACAAGGUCACUUUUGUCUCUCUAAGGAUUAGUCUCCCCAGACAUAUGAAGAAAAAGAUUUUAUGGCUAAGGUACCAUGCGCCUCAGCCGUUGGAAGUCUCAUGUAUGCUAUGGUUGGUACUAGACUUGAUAUUAGCCAAGCAUAGGAGUUGUGAGUAGGUAUAUGUCAAAUCCAGGGAAGAUUCACGGGAAAGCAGUGAAGUGGAUUUUGAGACAUCUACAUGACACUAUUGAUAAGUGCCUAUGUUUCGGCAAAAGAGACUUGAAAAUUCAAGGGUAUGUAGAUGCUGAUUUUGUAACUGAAAUUGAUCAUCGUGGAAGCAACACCGGAUAUAUAUUUAUUGUUGGCACAACAACUGUUAGUUGGAUGUCACAGAUACAAAAGAUUGUUGUUAAUCCACUAUAGAAGCUGAGUACGUAGUAAUGACAGAAGUAAAUAAAGAGAUGAUUUGGCUUCAAGGUUUGUUAACGGAGCUUGGAAUAAAGUAGGAAAGAAAUGUUUUGUACAGCGACAGUCAGAGCGCGAUGCAUCUGGCAAAGAACUCUGCAUUCAUUCCAGAACCAAACACAUUGGAUUACGUUAUCAAUUCGUCAGAUCUCUGUUAGAGGACGGCGUGUUGACACUUGAAAAAAUUUAAAGUAGCAG